GCAAGGCCUUGCGCUCUUUGAGCGGCCGAUGUCAGAUUAGCUAGUUGGUGAGGUAAAGGCUUACCAAGGCGACGAUCUGUAGCGGGUCUGAGAGGAUGAUCCGCCACACUGGAACUGAGACACGGUCCAGACUCCUACGGGAGGCAGCAGUGGGGAAUUUUGGACAAUGGGGGCAACCCUGAUCCAGCCAUGCCGCGUGAGUGAAGAAGGCCUUCGGGUUGUAAAGCUCUUUCGGCCGGGAAGAAAUCGCAUGGGCCAAUACCCUGUGUGGAUGACGGUACCGGAAUAAGAAGCACCGGCUAACUACGUGCCAGCAGCCGCGGUAAUACGUAGGGUGCGAGCGUUAAUCGGAAUUACUGGGCGUAAAGCGUGCGCAGGCGGUUUUGUAAGACAGGCGUGAAAUCCCCGGGCUUAACCUGGGAACUGCGUUUGUGACUGCAAGGCUAGAGUACGGCAGAGGGGGGUGGAAUUCCACGUGUAGCAGUGAAAUGCGUAGAGAUGUGUAGGAACACCAAUGGCGAAGGCAGCCCCCUGGGUCGAUACUGACGCUCAUGCACGAAAGCGUGGGUAGCAAACAGGAUUAGAUACCCUGGUAGUCCACGCCCUAAACUAUGUCAACUAGGUGUUGGGUGGGUAAAACCAUUUAGUACCGUAGCUAACGCGUGAAGUUGACCGCCUGGGGAGUACGGCCGCAAGGUUAAAACUCAAAGGAAUUGACGGGGACCCGCACAAGCGGUGGAUGAUGUGGAUUAAUUCGAUGCAACGCGAAAAACCUUACCUACCCUUGACAUGCCAGGAACUUGCCAGAGAUGGCUUGGUGCCCGAAAGGGAGCCUGGACACAGGUGCUGCAUGGCUGUCGUCAGCUCGUGUCGUGAGAUGUUGGGUUAAGUCCCGCAACGAGCGCAACCCUUGUCGUUAAUUGCCAUCAUUUAGUUGGGCACUUUAACGAGACUGCCGGUGACAAACCGGAGGAAGGUGGGGAUGACGUCAAGUCCUCAUGGCCCUUAUGGGUAGGGCUUCACACGUCAUACAAUGGUCGGUACAAAGGGUUGCCAAGCCGCGAGGCGGAGCCAAUCCCAGAAAGCCGAUCGUAGUCCGGAUUGCAGGCUGCAACUCGCCUGCAUGAAGUCGGAAUCGCUAGUAAUCGUGGAUCAGCAUGUCACGGUGAAUACGUUCCCGGGUCUUGUACACACCGCCCGUCACACCAUGGGAGCGGGUUCCGCCAGAAGUAGGUAGC
RNAcentral lists this ribosomal RNA (1238 nucleotides) under metagenome. Its description in RNAcentral is "bacterial SSU rRNA". It matches the Rfam family "Bacterial small subunit ribosomal RNA", at positions 202 to 1434 of the family's 1533-position model. The record is from RNAcentral.